AUGCUUACACUCCAUACAGGGCCGGCCCAGGCCCGCUGGCCGCUGCGAGUGACCCCUCUGCGAUUUCCAUUUGCUUCCUCCGUCUUCUCCAUCCCCUCUCCCCCUACCUCCACCGUCCCUGAGCACUCCCAGUCCCAGGCCAUUAGCCUAGCUAGCUACCCCCUCCAUGCGAGGGCGGCAAUGGCGCCCGCCUCCUUCGCCGCCUCCCUCGCCGUCUCCCUCUCCGCCCCCGUCCGCCUAAUCCCGCCCAGAUGCUUCCGCGGGAGGCCGAGGCGAUCCCGCCCAAUCAGGGCUUCGAGCGACACGAAUGGCGCCCCGAACGGGGAGCGGAGGAUCGGGGCUCUGGAGAGGAGGGUGGGGGAUUUGAGGGCGCUUGUCGCCUCGGUGCCUCCUGCUGUUGUCUCGAUGAGGAAAACCAUUGGACUAAAUUCCAUUGCCGGUUUCGGUUUCGGCAUUGCAUUUUUGGCUGCUCUCGCAAGACAGGUCAUCAUAAGAACUCAACAGCAAGAUAGUAGUGGUUCUGUUUCUGAUCUAGUAAGGCGCGGGCAUCUAAAAUCUGGGCAACGUGGGAUUGCAAAACCACGUGUGUACAAUGAUCCUUUCAAUAAUUCGUUAGUCAAGAUCGAUGAAGGUACUUCUACUGCUCAGAUGUUUGGCAAGGAGUACCGCAUGGCUCCUGUCCGGCUUACAAAUGAACAACAGACAAUGCAUCAGAAAAGGAGAUCACAUGCAUAUCAGUGGAAAAGGCCCACUGUGUUUCUUAAAGAAGGUGAUCCCCUGCCACCAGAUGUCGAUCCAGAGACAGUUAGAUGGAUUCCAGUAAACCACCCAUUUGCUGCUGGUUCGGUUGAAGUAGAUGAGGAGACUGCCAAAAGGAAUGUUUAUCAAAAGGAUGGCGUCCCAUCCCGUGUUAAAGCUGAACAUGAAGCUUUGCGGGCAAGGCUAGAGGCUUCAAAUGAUGUAAAACCAUUCUCUAACGGUCCAAGGGGUAUGCAACAUAGUGCAAGAUCAUCGAAGUUAUCAGACGAGCCAUCUGGGAAUCUGCAACAGUCUAAACCUGACAUGGUGAAUGACCAAAAUGGCCAACCAAUGUUAGGGCAUGAGCCCGAGCCCGAGCCCGAGAGCUCUGACAAUGGUUCACUAUCAAAAAGCUUGGAAGGGCAGUAA
Molecule: ribosomal RNA, 1167 nt
Filed under: Triticum aestivum (bread wheat)
Lineage: Eukaryota; Viridiplantae; Streptophyta; Magnoliopsida; Poales; Poaceae
Description: partial small subunit ribosomal RNA
Source: RNAcentral